RNAcentral lists this ribosomal RNA (532 nucleotides) under uncultured bacterium. Its description in RNAcentral is "bacterial SSU rRNA". It matches the Rfam family "Bacterial small subunit ribosomal RNA", at positions 335 to 857 of the family's 1533-position model. The record is from RNAcentral.
ACUCCUACGGGAGGCAGCAGUGGGGAAUUGUUCGCAAUGGGCGCAAGCCUGACGACGCAACGCCGCGUGGAGGACGAAGAUCUUCGGGUCGUAAACUCCUGUCGACCGGGAAGAAUGUUCCGGGAGUGAAUAUCUCCUGGAAGUGACGGUACCGGUAAAGGAAGCCCCGGCUAACUCCGUGCCAGCAGCCGCGGUAAUACGGGGGGGGCAAGCGUUGUUCGGAAUUACUGGGCGUAAAGGGGACGUAGGCGGCCAACUAAGUCCGACGUGAAAUCCCAAGGCUUAACCUUGGAACUGCGUCGGAUACUGGAUGGCUUGAAUUCGGGAGAGGGAUGCAGAAUUCCAGGUGUAGCGGUGAAAUGCGUAGAUAUCUGGAGGAAUACCGGUGGCGAAGGCGGCAUCCUGGACCGACAUUGACGCUGAAGGCCGAAAGCUAGGGGAGCAAACGGGAUUAGAUACCCCGGUAGUCCUAGCCCUAAACGAUGAAUGCUUGGUGUGGCGGGUAUCGAUCCCUGCCGUGCCGAAGCUAACG